RNAcentral lists this transfer RNA (86 nucleotides) under Clostridiales bacterium. RNAcentral describes it as "tRNA-Tyr". It matches the Rfam family "tRNA". Rfam says of the family: Transfer RNA (tRNA) molecules are approximately 80 nucleotides in length. Their secondary structure includes four short double-helical elements and three loops (D, anti-codon, and T loops). RNAcentral also lists the same sequence under 2 other names. The record is from RNAcentral. Lineage: Bacteria; Bacillati; Bacillota; Clostridia; Eubacteriales.
GGGCAGGUGGUCGAGUGGUUAAUGGCACCAGACUGUAAAUCUGGCCGCGAGAGCGUACGAUGGUUCGAAUCCAUCUCUGCCCACCA